UACGGAGGGAGCUAGCGUUGUUCGGAAUUACUGGGCGUAAAGCGCGCGUAGGCGGCUUUGUAAGUUAGAGGUGAAAGCCCGGGGCUCAACCCCGGAACUGCCUUUAAGACUGCAUCGCUUGAAUCCGGGAGAGGUGAGUGGAAUUCCGAGUUUAGAGGUGAAAUUCGUAGAUAUUCGGAAGAACACCAGUGGCGAAGGCGGCUCACUGGACCGGUAUUGACGCUGAGGUGCGAAAGCGUGGGGAGCAAACAGG
RNAcentral lists this ribosomal RNA (253 nucleotides) under uncultured bacterium. Its description in RNAcentral is "partial 16S ribosomal RNA". It matches the Rfam family "Bacterial small subunit ribosomal RNA", at positions 524 to 776 of the family's 1533-position model. The record is from RNAcentral.